This 496-nucleotide ribosomal RNA is filed under the name uncultured bacterium. RNAcentral describes it as "partial 16S ribosomal RNA". It matches the Rfam family "Bacterial small subunit ribosomal RNA", at positions 30 to 523 of the family's 1533-position model. The record is from RNAcentral.
AUUGAACGCUGGCGGAAUGCUUUACGCAUGCAAGUCGAACGGUAGAGGGGGCAACCCCUCGAGAGUGGCGAACGGGUGAGUAAUAUAUCGGAACGUGCCCAGUCGUUGGGGAUAACGUAGCGAAAGUUACGCUAAUACCGCAUACGAACUAAGGAUAAAAGCGAGGGAUCGCAAGUACUCGCGCGAUUGGAGCUGCGGAUAUCAUAUUAGGUGGGUGGUGGGGUAAAUGUUCACAAAGGUAACGAUCUGUAGCGGGUAUGAGAGGACGACCAGCCAAACUGGAUCUGAGACACGGUACAGACUCCUACGGGAGGCCGCAGUGGGGAAUUUUGGACAAGGGACGAAAGUCUGAUCCAGCCAUUCCGCGUGCAGGAUGAAGGCCCUCGGGUUGUAAACUGCUUUUGUACGGAACGAAAAGGUCUCUCUUAAUACGGGGGGCUCAUGACGGUACCGUAAGAAUAAGCACCGGCUAACUACGUGCCAGCCGCCGCCGUAA